RNAcentral lists this ribosomal RNA (561 nucleotides) under uncultured bacterium. RNAcentral describes it as "bacterial SSU rRNA". It matches the Rfam family "Bacterial small subunit ribosomal RNA", at positions 338 to 916 of the family's 1533-position model. The record is from RNAcentral.
CCUACGGGAGGCAGCAGUAGGGAAUUUUCCACAAUGGGCGAAAGCCUGAUGGAGCAAUACCGCGUGCAGGAUGAAGGCCUUCGGGUCGUAAACUGCUUUUAUGUGCGAAGAAUUUGACGGUAACACAUGAAUAAGGAUCGGCUAACUACGUGCCAGCAGCCGCGGUCAUACGUAGGAUCCAAGCGUUAUCCGGAAUUACUGGGCGUAAAGAGUUGCGUAGGUGGCAUUAUAAGUGGAGCGUGAAAGCGUGCGGCUCAACCGCAUUAUUGCGUUCCAAACUGUGAAGCUUGAGUAUGGGAGAGGUAGAUGGAAUUUCUAGUGUAGGAGUGAAAUCCGUAGAUAUUAGAAGGAACACCGAUGGCGUAGGCAGUCUACUGGCCCAUUACUGACACUAAGGCACGAAAGCGUGGGGAGCAAACGGGAUUAGAUACCCCGGUAGUCCACGCUGUAAACUAUGGAUGCUAGCUGUGACACACAUCGACCUGUGUCGUAGCGAAGUUAACGCGUUAAGCAUCCCGCUGGGGAGUACGGUCGCAAGNUUAAAACGCAAAGGAUUGACGG